UACGGGGGGUGCGAGCGUUGUCCGGAAUCACUGGGCGUAAAGGGCGCGUAGGUGGCCUGGUAAGUCUGUGGUGAAAGCCCGGAGCUCAACUCCGGGUCUGCCGCGGAUACUGCGAGGCUUGAGUGCUGUAGAGGGGGGUAGAAUGCCGGGUGUAGCGGUGGAAUGCGUAGAGAUCCGGCAGAAGACCGGUGGCGAAGGCGGCCCCCUGGGCAGUAACUGACACUGAGGCGCGGAAGCGUGGGGAGCAAACAGG
RNAcentral lists this ribosomal RNA (253 nucleotides) under uncultured bacterium. RNAcentral describes it as "partial 16S ribosomal RNA". It matches the Rfam family "Bacterial small subunit ribosomal RNA", at positions 524 to 776 of the family's 1533-position model. The record is from RNAcentral.